GCGCGGCGAAAAACCUUACACACAGUGUUUUUUGUUAUUACAAGAACUUUUGCUUUGGUCUGGACUAGAAAUAGUUUGGGCCAGAGGUUUACUGAACUAAACUUCAAUAUUUAUAUUGAAUUGUUAUUUAUUUAAUUGUCAAUUUGUUGAUUAAAUUCAAAAAAUCUUCAAAACUUUCAACAACGGAUCUCUUGGUUCUCGCAUCGAUGAAGAACGCAGCGAAAUGCGAUAAGUAAUAUGAAUUGCAGAUUUUCGUGAAUCAUCGAAUCUUUGAACGCACAUUGCGCCCUCUGGUAUUCCAGAGGGCAUGCCUGUUUGAGCGUCAUUUCUCUCUCAAACCUUCGGGUUUGGUAUUGAGUGAUACUCUUAGUCGAACUAGGCGUUUGCUUGAAAUGUAUUGGCAUGAGUGGUACUGGAUAGUGCUAUAUGACUUUCAAUGUAUUAGGUUUAUCCAACUCGUUGAAUAGUUUAAUGGUAUAUUUCUCGGUAUUCUAGGCUCGGCCUUACAAUAUAACAAACAAGUUUGACCUCAAAUCAGGUAGGAUUACCCGCUGAACUUAAGCAUAUCA
This 569-nucleotide ribosomal RNA is filed under the name Debaryomyces sp. S632Y24. RNAcentral's name for it is "eukaryotic LSU rRNA". The stretch from base 172 to 325 matches the Rfam family "5.8S ribosomal RNA". RNAcentral also lists the same sequence under 1 other name. The record is from RNAcentral. Lineage: Eukaryota; Fungi; Ascomycota; Pichiomycetes; Serinales; Debaryomycetaceae.